Molecule: small RNA, 646 nt
Filed under: Histoplasma capsulatum var. duboisii H88
Lineage: Eukaryota; Fungi; Ascomycota; Eurotiomycetes; Onygenales; Ajellomycetaceae
Description: Histoplasma capsulatum H88 hypothetical RNA
Source: RNAcentral
CAACCGCUUAGAGACACUUCCAUUACCUUCAGAUAUUAUAUGUGGAAAAACAUCACCAUGUCGUCCCCUCCAACUCCAACACCCAACCCCCUCAUCGACCUCCCUGAAAUCCUCCUCCUUUGCAGAGAAAAGGAAAACAUAGUUGCCUUCCAGGACGCCCUCCGCAAGCACUGGCCCGCGAUCACCUUCUUCUCCCCUUCUUCAUCCACCACCACCUCCCCCCAACCGACCCAACAAGCCGAGCAAAAGCUAAAAAUAAUCCCCCUCAAUGAACGCCUUAACACCGUCCCACAUACCCAACCCUUCGACCUCGUCGUUUCCCCCGCCAAUUCCUAUGGCCGUCUUGACGGCGCCUUCGACGACGCCAUCUCCCGCACCUUCUGUCUGCCCGACCACCCGUACCUCACCUUGACGCGUGCUGCGCAGAAAACGCUCUACGAGCGCUGGCGCGGCUAUGCGCCGCCGGGCACCUGCACGCUUGUACCGUUUCCGGAAGAGAUUGUGAAAGCGGGGAAGGCGCUGGGGGGCUGUAGGUGGGUGGCGCUGUGUCCGACGAUGCGCAUGCCGGAGAAUGUGGUGUGGGAUCGGGAGGUUGUUUAUAAGUGUGUGUGGUCGUUGAUGGGGGAGGUAGAGAAGUGGAAUCGAG